RNAcentral lists this non-coding RNA (147 nucleotides) under Brevibacillus parabrevis. RNAcentral describes it as "FMN sequence". It matches the Rfam family "FMN riboswitch aptamer (RFN element)". Rfam says of the family: The RFN element is a highly conserved domain that is found frequently in the 5'-untranslated regions of prokaryotic mRNAs that encode for flavin mononucleotide (FMN) biosynthesis and transport proteins. This element is a metabolite-dependent riboswitch that directly binds FMN in the absence of proteins. Lineage: Bacteria; Bacillati; Bacillota; Bacilli; Caryophanales; Paenibacillaceae. The record is from RNAcentral.
CAAAAUCUUCAGGGCAGGGUGAAAUUCCCGACCGGCGGUGAGGACGCACGUACGUCUAAAGCCCGCGACUCGCUGAUCGUCACGGUCGGCGACUGAUCUGGUGCAAAUCCAGGGCCGACGGUAAAGUCCGGAUGGAAGAAGAUCUGA